GGCCCUAUGGCGCAACGGUAGCGCGUUCGACUCCAGAUCGAAAGGUAAGAUACCGUCCCGGGGCUU
Molecule: transfer RNA, 66 nt
Filed under: Colletotrichum gloeosporioides Cg-14
Lineage: Eukaryota; Fungi; Ascomycota; Sordariomycetes; Glomerellales; Glomerellaceae
Rfam family: tRNA
About the family: Transfer RNA (tRNA) molecules are approximately 80 nucleotides in length.
Source: Rfam by way of RNAcentral